RNAcentral lists this ribosomal RNA (514 nucleotides) under uncultured bacterium. RNAcentral describes it as "partial 16S ribosomal RNA". It matches the Rfam family "Bacterial small subunit ribosomal RNA", at positions 28 to 523 of the family's 1533-position model. The record is from RNAcentral.
GAUGAACGCUGGCGGCGUGCCUAAUACAUGCAAGUCGAGCGAACAGAUGAGAAGCUUGCUUCUCUGAUGUUAGCGGCGGACGGGUGAGUAACACGUGGGUAACCUACCUAUAAGACUGGGAUAACUCCGGGAAACCGGGGCUAAUACCGGAUAAUAUUUUGAACCGCAUGGUUCAAUAGUGAAUGACGGUUUCGGCUGUCACUUAUCGAUGGACCCGCGCCGUAUUAGCUAGUUGGUAAGGUAACGGCUUACCAAGGCGACGAUACGUAGCCGACCUGAGAGGGUGAUCGGCCACACUGGAACUGAGACACGGUCCAGACUCCUACGGGAGGCAGCAGUAGGGAAUCUUCCGCAAUGGGCGAAAGCCUGACGGAGCAACGCCGCGUGAGUGAUGAAGGUCUUCGGAUCGUAAAACUCUGUUGUUAGGGAAGAACAAAUUUGUUAGUAACUGAACAAGUCUUGACGGUACCUAACCAGAAAGCCACGGCUAACUACGUGCCAGCCGCCGCGGUAA